Molecule: transfer RNA, 72 nt
Filed under: Bos taurus (domestic cattle)
Lineage: Eukaryota; Metazoa; Chordata; Mammalia; Artiodactyla; Bovidae
Rfam family: tRNA
About the family: Transfer RNA (tRNA) molecules are approximately 80 nucleotides in length. Their secondary structure includes four short double-helical elements and three loops (D, anti-codon, and T loops).
Source: Rfam by way of RNAcentral
UCCCUGGUGGCUCAGAUGGUAAAGCGUCUGUCUGCAUUGCAGGAGACCUAGGUUCGAUCCCUGGGUUGGGAA